GAUGAACGCUGGCGGCGUGCUAAUACAUGCAAGUCGAACGAGGUGCUUUUGUAGCAAUACGAGAGUAUCCUAGUGGCGAACGGGUGAGUAACGCGUUGGUGACCUACCCCAAAGUGUGGGAUAACAGUCCGAAAGGAUUGCUAAUACCGCAUGUGGUCAUCGGGUUUAGAAACCGAUGUCUAAAGGAGCAAUUCGCUUUGGGAGGGACCUGCGUCCCAUCAGCUAGUUGGUGAGGUAAUGGCUCACCAAGGCGACGACGGGUAGGGGACCUGAGAGGGUGGCCCCCCACAAUGGAACUGAAGCACGGUCCAUACACCUACGGGUGGCAGCAGUAGGGAAUAUUGCACAAUGGGCGAAAGCCUGAUGCAGCAACACCGCGUGUGCGAUGAAGGCCUUCGGGUCGUAAAGCACUUUUCUGAGAGAUGAGAAAGGACAGUAUCUCAGGAAUAAGUCUCGGCUAACUACGUG
Molecule: ribosomal RNA, 468 nt
Filed under: uncultured bacterium
Lineage: Bacteria
Description: bacterial SSU rRNA
Rfam family: Bacterial small subunit ribosomal RNA
Source: RNAcentral